CAUGCAAGUCGAGCGCGAAGUCCCCGCAAGGGGACGGAGAGCGGCGAAAGGGAGAGUAAUACGUAGGUACCUGCCCUGAGGUCUGGGAUAGCCAUGCUAACGCGUGGGUAAUACCAGAUAAUGUCUCCGGACCAAAGGUUUACCACCUUAGGAGGGGCCUGCGGCCUAUCAGCUUGUUGGCGAGGUAAUGGCUCACCAAGGCUAAGACGGGUAUGGGGUGUGAGAGCAUGCCCCCACUCACUGGGACUGAGAACUGCCCAGACACCUACGGGUGGCUGCAGUCGAGAAUCUUCGGCAAUGGGCGCAAGCCUGACCGAGCGAUGCCGCGUGCGGGAUGAAGGCUUUCGGGUUGUAAACCGCUGUCGUAGGGGAGCAAGGCGUAAGCUUGAGCGAUCCUAGGAGGAAGGACCGGCUAAGUCUGUGCCAGCAGCCGCGGUAAUACAGACGGUCCAAACGUUAUUCGGAAUCACUGGGCUUAAAGAGUUCGUAGGCGGUCAAGAAAGUGGGGUGUGAAAGCCCUCGGCUCAACCGAGGAACUGCGCUCCAAACUACUUGACUUGAGGAGGCUAGAGGUAAGCGGAACUGAUGGUGGAGCGGUGAAAUGCGUUGAUAUCAUCAGGAACACCGGAGGCGAANGCGGCUUACUGGGGCCUUUCUGACGCUGA
Molecule: ribosomal RNA, 665 nt
Filed under: uncultured bacterium
Lineage: Bacteria
Description: bacterial SSU rRNA
Rfam family: Bacterial small subunit ribosomal RNA
Source: RNAcentral